RNAcentral lists this ribosomal RNA (355 nucleotides) under Plesionika edwardsii. RNAcentral's name for it is "partial 16S ribosomal RNA". It matches the Rfam family "Bacterial large subunit ribosomal RNA", at positions 1957 to 2519 of the family's 2925-position model. Lineage: Eukaryota; Metazoa; Arthropoda; Malacostraca; Decapoda; Pandalidae. The record is from RNAcentral.
UAGCAUAAUCAAUAGUCUUUUAAUUGAAGGCUGGAAUGAAUGGUCGGACAAAGAGUAAGCUGUCUUUUUAAUAUUUCUUGAAGUUUACCUUUAAGUGAAAAGGCUUAAAUGUAAUUGGGGGACGAUAAGACCCUAUAAAACUUUACAGUGGGGUCUGUAUUUUUUUAAAAUAAUGUAUAAUAUGAGUUACAGCCUGUCUGUUAUGUUGGGGAGACAUUAUCAUAAUAAGUAACUGUAAUAAAUAAAAAAUAAUAAUAAUUAGGUUAAUUGAUCCUUUAUUAAAGAUUAUAAGAUUAAGUUACUUUAGGGAUAACAGCGUAAUUCUCUUUGAGAGUUCUUAUCGACAAGAGUAGUU